Molecule: ribosomal RNA, 482 nt
Filed under: uncultured bacterium
Lineage: Bacteria
Description: partial 16S ribosomal RNA
Rfam family: Bacterial small subunit ribosomal RNA
Source: RNAcentral
AUUGAACGCUGGCGGCAUGCCUUACACAUGCAAGUCGAACGGUAACGGGCCUUCGGGUGCCGACGAGUGGCGAACGGGUGAGUAAUACAUCGGAACGUGCCCGAUCGUGGGGGAUAACGAGGCGAAAGCUUUGCUAAUACCGCAUACGAUCUACGGAUGAAAGCAGGGGACCGCAAGGCCUUGCGGGGACGGAGCGGCCGAUGGCAGAUUAGGUAGUUGGUGGGGUAAAGGCUUACCAAGCCGACGAUCUGUAGCUGGUCUGAGAGGAUGAUCAGCCACACUGGGACUGAGACACGGCCCAGACUCCUACGGGAGGCAGCAGUGGGGAAUUUUGGACAAUGGGCGCAAGCCUGAUCCAGCCAUGCCGCGUGCAGGAUGAAGGCCUUCGGGUUGUAAACUGCUUUUGUACGGAACGAAAAGCCUUCUUUUAAUACAGGAGGGUCAUGACGGUACCGGAAGAAUAAGCACCGGCUAACUACGUG